CUCAACCGCGGCGCUGCCGUGGACUUCAAGGCCAGGAAUGACAUCACACCGCUGCAUGUGGCUUCUAAGAGAGGGAAUGGCAACAUGGUGAAAGUUCUGCUGGAGAGGGGAGGCACGAUAGACGCCAGGACUAAGGACGGUCUGACCCCUCUCCACUGUGGCGCCAGGAGCGGACAUGAACAGGUGCUGGAGAUGCUGCUAGACAGAGGAGCUCCCAUCCUGUCCAAAACUAAGAACGGUCUGUCUCCCUCCACAUGGCCACCCAGGGGGAC
This is a long non-coding RNA of Oncorhynchus gorbuscha (pink salmon), 272 nucleotides long. RefSeq lists it as uncharacterized. Lineage: Eukaryota; Metazoa; Chordata; Actinopteri; Salmoniformes; Salmonidae. The transcript is spliced from 4 exons. The record is from RefSeq and is a predicted model, not a curated record.